UUACCCGCUGAAUUUAAGCAUAUAACUAAGCGGAGGAAAAGAAACUAACCAGGAUUCCCCCAGUAGCGGCGAGCGAAGCGGGAAGAGCUCAAUGUGGAAAUCCGGGGCGGGCGCCGCCCCCGAGAUGUAAUCUAUAGAGGCGCUUUCUGGGCCGGCGCGGGUACAAGUCCCCUUGAACGGGGCGUCAUAGAGGGUGCGAACCCCGUACAUGACCCGCGGCGCGGCGCUGUACGAGGCGGUCUCGGCGAGUCGGGUUGCUUGAGAAUGCAGCCCCAAGUGGGUGGUAGACUCCAUCUAAAGCUAAAUACUGGCGGGAGACCGAUAGCGAACAAGUACUGUGAAGGAAAGAUGAAAAGCACUUUGAAAAGAGAGUGAAAGAGGACCUGAAACCGUUGAGGGGGAAGCGAAGGGCGCGAGUGGUGUGCGCGGCCGAUUAGCGCCCCCCGGGGCGCGCACUGGGCCGGGCGGCCGGCGCGGGGAGCAUUUAGUUUGCAGAGAGGCCUGGGCGGCGGCGAGCACACGCCGCCGCGCGGGCGCCCGCGCCGAAAUGGCGCUCUCCGACCCGUCUUGAAACACGGACCAAGGA
Molecule: ribosomal RNA, 586 nt
Filed under: Porphyridium purpureum
Lineage: Eukaryota; Rhodophyta; Bangiophyceae; Porphyridiales; Porphyridiaceae
Description: eukaryotic LSU rRNA
Rfam family: Eukaryotic large subunit ribosomal RNA
Source: RNAcentral